UACAGCCAUAUCACAUUGAAAACACUAGUUCUCCUCUGAUCACACAAGUUAAGCAAUGUCGAGCCUGGUCAGUAACUAGAUGGGUGACCACUUAGGAAUACCAGCUUCUG
Acanthosepion pharaonis is the source of this 110-nucleotide non-coding RNA. NCBI's taxonomy places the organism in Eukaryota, Metazoa, Mollusca, Cephalopoda, Sepiida, Sepiidae. The record is from the annotation of a GenBank genome assembly.